AAGGCUGUUGUCUGUUGUCAUCAGGACCAGGUGGCUGAUUUAGGUUCCAAGCAGAAUUGAAUUGGGUGCCUUGGAAGCCUGAGGCAGAUUUGGUACUAUGGAGGGUGCACUUGCUGAUAUGAAGUUUUAUUUUAUACAAAUCCUGGAGAAGCUAAGUGAGGCCAUGUCAAUGUUGCCAGAAGACAUGAGAAUCAUGCCAGAUCUCUGUGGCUUAACAUGGAACAUAGUGUUCUGGAGGCUGGGAAGUUCAAGGUACCAGCAAAUUUCAUUACCUGUUGCCCCAUGAUGGCACACAGCUUUACUCAGCAAACCCUGCCAGCUUCCAAGCCCUAGGAUACUGACCUGCAUCAGCACAUGGGGCAGCAUUACCUCCCCAACAGUGUGGAGAAGAGAACAUUUCACCACUGGGUGAUGAGAGAGUAGACAGUGACUCUUGGCUUCUCAAUGCUAGACAUGAUUGG
Molecule: non-coding RNA, 461 nt
Filed under: Pongo abelii (Sumatran orangutan)
Lineage: Eukaryota; Metazoa; Chordata; Mammalia; Primates; Hominidae
Source: RNAcentral